UACGGAGGGUGCAAGCGUUGUCCGGAAUCAUUGGGCGUAAAGAGUUCGUAGGUGGUUUGUUAAGUUUGGUGUUAAAUGCAGAGGCUCAACUUCUGUUCGGCAUCGGAUACUGGCAGACUAGAAUGCGGUAGAGGUAAAGGGAAUUCCUGGUGUAGCGGUGAAAUGCGUAGAUAUCAGGAGGAACAUCGGUGGCGUAAGCGCUUUACUGGGCCGUAAUUGACACUGAGGAACGAAAGCCAGGGUAGCAAAUGGG
This 253-nucleotide ribosomal RNA is filed under the name uncultured bacterium. Its description in RNAcentral is "partial 16S ribosomal RNA". It matches the Rfam family "Bacterial small subunit ribosomal RNA", at positions 524 to 776 of the family's 1533-position model. The record is from RNAcentral. RNAcentral also lists the same sequence under 1 other name.